GACGAACGCUGGCGGCGUGCUUAACACAUGCAAGUCGAACGGAAAGGCCUCAGCUUGCUGGGGUACUCGAGUGGCGAACGGGUGAGUAACACGUGGGUGAUCUGCCUUGCACUCUGGGAUAAGCUUGGGAAACUGGGUCUAAUACCGGAUAUGAACUGCCUUUAGUGUGGUGGUUGGAAAGUUUUUUCGGUGCAAGAUGAGCUCGCGGCCUAUCAGCUUGUUGGUGGGGUAAUGGCCUACCAAGGCGUCGACGGGUAGCCGGCCUGAGAGGGUGUACGGCCACAUUGGGACUGAGAUACGGCCAAGACUCCUACGGGAGGCAGAAGUGGGGAAUAUUGCAAAAUGGGAGGAAGCCUGAUGCAGCGACGCCGCGUGGGGGAUGACGGCCUUCGGGUUGUAAACUCCUUUCGACAGGGACGAAGCUUUUUGUGACGGUACCUGUAUAAGAAGCACCGGCUAACUACGUG
Molecule: ribosomal RNA, 467 nt
Filed under: uncultured bacterium
Lineage: Bacteria
Description: partial 16S ribosomal RNA
Rfam family: Bacterial small subunit ribosomal RNA
Source: RNAcentral